AUUUAUCUCCAGAAGAAACCCAAAACUUGGUCUUCAACAGCUGAGAUCCAUCCUGAGCCUGGUCAUAACCAUUAGAUUUUGUGGCUAAUUG
RNAcentral lists this long non-coding RNA (91 nucleotides) under Junco hyemalis (dark-eyed junco). RNAcentral describes it as "lncRNA (ENSJHYG00000011301.1)". The record is from RNAcentral. Lineage: Eukaryota; Metazoa; Chordata; Aves; Passeriformes; Passerellidae.